Molecule: ribosomal RNA, 464 nt
Filed under: uncultured bacterium
Lineage: Bacteria
Description: bacterial SSU rRNA
Rfam family: Bacterial small subunit ribosomal RNA
Source: RNAcentral
GGGCCCGCACAAGCGGUGGAGCAUGUGGUUCAAUUCGACGCAACGCGAAGAACCUUACCCAGGCUUGAAGAGCGAGUGACCAUCGGCGAAAGUCGACUUCCGCAAGGACACUCGUAGAGGUGCUGCAUGGCUGUCGUCAGCUCGUGUCGUGAGAUGUUGGGUUAAGUCCCGCAACGAGCGCAACCCUUGUUUGCUGUUGCCAUCACGUGAUGGUGGGCACUCUGCAAAGACUGCCGGUGAUAAACCGGAGGAAGGUGGGGAUGACGUCAAGUCAGCAUGGCCUUUAUGUCUGGGGCUACACACGUGCUACAAUGGCCGAUACAAACCGUCGCGAUACCGCAAGGUGGAGCUAAUCGGAGAAAGUCGGUCUCAGUUCGGAUAGCAGGCUGCAACUCGCCUGCUUGAAGUUGGAAUCGCUAGUAAUCGCGGAUCAGCACGCCGCGGUGAAUACGUUCCCGGGCCUU